RNAcentral lists this long non-coding RNA (255 nucleotides) under Lathyrus oleraceus (garden pea). RNAcentral's name for it is "Pisum sativum (pea) long non-coding RNA (PSAT_LNC017152)". The record is from RNAcentral. Lineage: Eukaryota; Viridiplantae; Streptophyta; Magnoliopsida; Fabales; Fabaceae.
GAAAAGGCUGGAAAUGGCUUGAGUGGCCAACAGGAAAAUGAAGCAAUUGCUGAGGAAGAAGGAAAAAUUGUUGUGGAAGAGAUAAAUUUGACUAAAAACUCACACAAAUUUGAGUCUACAGUAGAAUUUAAGGAAUAAAUGAGCACCAACGUGACACCUAUUGUCACUCUUGAGAAGGUGAAGAAACCAGUGAAUCCCAGGACGACUUUCCCAACAAAAGCUGUUCAGAAGAAGAAAUCCCUUGCUAUGACCAAA